UGGGGAAUUUUGGACAAUGGGGGCAACCUGAUCCAGCAAUGCCGCGUGUGUGAAGAAGGCCUUCGGGUUGUAAAGCACUUUUGUCCGGAAAGAAAACGUCGUGGUUAAUACCCGUGGCGGCUGACGGUACCGGAAGAAUAAGCACCGGCUAACUACGUGCCAGCAGCCGCGGUAAUACGUAGGGUGCAAGCGUUAAUCGGAAUUACUGGGCGUAAAGCGUGCGCAGGCGGUCCGCUAAGACAGAUGUGAAAUCCCCGGGCUUAACCUGGGAACUGCAUUUGUGACUGGCGGGCUAGAGUAUGGCAGAGGGGGGUAGAAUUCCACGUGUAGCAGUGAAAUGCGUAGAGAUGUGGAGGAAUACCGAUGGCGAAGGCAGCCCCUGGGCCAAUACUGACGCUCAUGCACGAAAGCGUGGGGGAGCAAACAGGAUUCAGAUACCCUGGUAGUCCACG
Molecule: ribosomal RNA, 452 nt
Filed under: uncultured bacterium
Lineage: Bacteria
Description: partial 16S ribosomal RNA
Rfam family: Bacterial small subunit ribosomal RNA
Source: RNAcentral